This 97-nucleotide transfer RNA is filed under the name Bacillota bacterium. RNAcentral's name for it is "tRNA-Sec". It matches the Rfam family "Selenocysteine transfer RNA". Lineage: Bacteria; Bacillati; Bacillota. The record is from RNAcentral.
GGGGGUAGAUAGGUGCUGGUGUGCCUGCCGGUCUUCAAAACCGUUCUGCCGUGCUAAGACCACGACGGGUGGGUUCGAUUCCCACAUGCCCUCGCCA